UUGUUCUGGAUCCAGCAGCUGUCUCUUGUAUGACCUCUGGUUCUUGAGACUUCAGCUAGCAUCUUACUUGUCUAUCUUGGGAUUCGCCGAUCUUCGUGGCCUGCAAGCAAGAAUCCCGCUCCCUGACCUGCCUAUCUUGGGUUCACCAGCCCCUGCAGCUGACUCAGGAGAAACCUUGUGGUCUUGCCUGCCGAACUUGGGGAUUCCUCGACCGUCACAACCUGUGAGUGGGAUCCCUGCUCUCUAAGAUGCCCAUCUUCGGUUCACCAGCUUCUGCGGCUCCAUGAAUUGGGAAAGGACUCUAUCCUGAUCCAAGGACUUGGGACGUUCCAGCCCCAUACAAUUGUAAGUGGCUCAGUGGUUAAGAGGGUGGCGGCUAACCAGAAGGUCAGCAGUUCAAAUCCAUCAACCACUCCUUGGAAACCCUAUAGGGCAGUUCUACUCUGUCCUACAGGGUUGAUAUGAGUCGGAAUCAACCGGAUGGCAACAGUCCUUCAGCCUCCAAUAUCAGUAACCCAUCUACCAAUCUGCAGGUCACCUCCCUGAUCCAAGGUAAAGGGAGUUUCCCUUGGGUGUAGCCUGUCAAGAGAUAAAAGGAAAGGGAAGCAAGCAGAGAGCUGGGGGACCUCAUACCACGAAGAGAGCAGCACCAGGAGCAAAGUAUGUCCUUUGGACCUGGGGCCCCUGUGCCUGAGAAGUUCCUCAACCAGGGGAAGAUUGAGGACAAGGACCUUCCUCCAGAGCUGACAGAGAGAAAGCCUUCCCUUUGGCUGACACCCUGAAUUUGGACUUGUAACCUACUAGACUGUGAGAGAAUAAAUUUCGCUUUGU
Long non-coding RNA from Loxodonta africana (African savanna elephant), 831 nucleotides. RefSeq lists it as uncharacterized. Lineage: Eukaryota; Metazoa; Chordata; Mammalia; Proboscidea; Elephantidae. The transcript is spliced from 4 exons. The record is from RefSeq and is a predicted model, not a curated record.